AUCCCUAAACUCCCAUUAGCAUAUGAAUUAACCCCAGUAGCCACGUCUUCUCAGGAAAAAAAAAAAACCUUCUAUCACCCACGUUCUUAUUUUGUUUUUCUUCACAAAUAAAUAAAAAAAUGAAACUGUCUUCUCACGCUACUGAUUGAAAUCGUCUUCUGUGAGGAUAAGCUCCCUCGAUAGAAAUCCAGAGCAAGUGGUUACUUAUGUUGUGUAUUUUCUGUAAUUUCUGUUUUGAUUUUGAUUUGGAGAUGUUUGUGUGUAAGAAAAGCGAUUUGAUUCGCUUUCAACAAGUUUGAAAUUUGAUUUGCUUUAAAAAAGUUUGGAAUGAUAAUCUACAAGAAUUCUGGACUCUACAAGAGGAACUAGGAAGAGAACAUUGCUUUCAUGGAUUUGGACCAAGUUGAUGCAACCGACUCCAUGACUUUAGAGUUAGAUGCGUCCAUCCGUCGUUCAAAAUCUUUCAAGGUGUUGCAGAAUUUGAUCAGAACUGCCGCAAAAAGAUCAUUUUAACACGAUGGCGAAUUGGAAAUACGUUUUCCUUUUUUACUUGUGAUUUGUUUUUUCAUAUACUCACGUAAAUAUUUAACUUUAUUGGUUUAGAUUUCCUGUUCUAUCCAAAUCUAUUAGUUGA
This is a long non-coding RNA of Lycium barbarum (goji berry), 634 nucleotides long. RefSeq lists it as uncharacterized. Lineage: Eukaryota; Viridiplantae; Streptophyta; Magnoliopsida; Solanales; Solanaceae. The record is from RefSeq and is a predicted model, not a curated record. The transcript has 4 exons.